GUCAAGACUGGGGGACGCAGAGCUGGUCACGUCGGGCUCUGGGCGGUGAACUCAUGGAGCCUUUUCUCCUUUUCUCAGGACCAUGUUCUCUGCAGAGGCCAAGCAGGAGCUUUCCCUUCUUUUUGAGGUGUGGUCCUCUAUGAGUACCUUGUCACCUUUUUGAUGCUUCUAAGAUGGUUUUUGUAUUUUCAUGGCCUUUUAAGCAAUUUUCAGUGAGGAGAACUGUCCAUACAAUCCAGCCCAUCUUUUCCAGUCAUGGAAAUUCUGUGGAAGAAGAGCUCAGUCAAAAGGUGAUGGGUCUGGAGUAGAGGAUCAGAAUGGGCGUCGUGACACAUAAUCUGAAGAUGAUUGUCAAGUGUUUUCUGAGUGUCUAGAACAACUCAAAUACACAUGGAAGAAAGAGAAAAGGAAAAAAAGGAGAGAAGGGAGGUGACUUAAGGAAUUCCUUUCUUCCAGAGAAAUAUCCCGAUUGCCAGUACCGACUCCACCCCACCCCCACCCGCCAGGAUGCAGGGGGCAGGGAGAAUCAAGGGAGAGCCUGUACUCAGCUCACAGCCUGGGCUACUUGGACACCAUCUCUUAAUUUGCUAAGACAGUGGGGACCACUGUGCCAAAAAGACUGGCAGCAGGAGUUGUAAAAAGACCUGUCUAGCUGGUGAACAUGGAGGUCAUUCCUGGAGAGCAGAGGACAGGAUGUCAAGUGGAGCCUGGAGACCACAGUGACUACAAGGAGAUUAGACAGGAGUCUGGGUUCAGGUGUCUCCUGAACAUUUCCCUGAGAACACGAAAACCACCUGCCCCCCCCUCAAGACCUACAGGACCCAGGCGUCCCAACACUGUUCCCAAGGACACCAAGCAUGGACCCUCCUGUGCAGGCAUCAAACUUUCCACUCUUUGAAGCUUCAAGGACUCCCUAUUCUCCUCCUCAGUCCCGAGAGCCCAGGACCCCAGCAUCCUGCCUCUUCUUUCCCUUUGUGGACCUAACAGACAGGGACCUGCUGUCCGGAUCCCUCAGGUUUGUCUCUAGCCACCUCCAGACCCUGAAAUUAAAUGUCCUGUAUUCCUGGA
Non-coding RNA from Vicugna pacos (alpaca), 1068 nucleotides. The record is from RefSeq and is a predicted model, not a curated record. Lineage: Eukaryota; Metazoa; Chordata; Mammalia; Artiodactyla; Camelidae.